RNAcentral lists this ribosomal RNA (253 nucleotides) under uncultured bacterium. RNAcentral describes it as "partial 16S ribosomal RNA". It matches the Rfam family "Bacterial small subunit ribosomal RNA", at positions 524 to 776 of the family's 1533-position model. The record is from RNAcentral.
UACGUAGGGUGCAAGCGUUGUCCGGAAUUAUUGGGCGUAAAGAGCUCGUAGGCGGUUUGUCGCGUCGAAUGUGAAAACCCGGGGCUCAACCCCGGGCCUGCAUUCGAUACGGGCAGACUAGAGUUCGGUAGAGGAGUCUGGAAUUCCUGGUGUAGCGGUGAAAUGCGCAGAUAUCAGGAGGAACACCGGUGGCGAAGGCGGGACUCUGGGCCGAUACUGACGCUGAGGAGCGAAAGCGUGGGGAGCAAACAGG